RNAcentral lists this ribosomal RNA (605 nucleotides) under Lichtheimia ramosa. Its description in RNAcentral is "eukaryotic LSU rRNA". The stretch from base 148 to 301 matches the Rfam family "5.8S ribosomal RNA". Lineage: Eukaryota; Fungi; Mucoromycota; Mucoromycetes; Mucorales; Lichtheimiaceae. The record is from RNAcentral.
UAUGGACCCUUCUUUCAGGAGACCUAUGUCUCGAGUCAAAGCAAGCAAGGCAAGCCUUUGGGGCUCUAGUACUAACUAUCCCCAAAGGUGUUUAUUCUUCUCGUGUAAACCAUGAUGUACGAAAAAGUUAGUUGUUAACUUAAAAACAACUCUUGGCAAUGGAUCUCUUGGUUCUCGCAUCGAUGAAGAGCGUAGCAAAGUGCGAUAAUUAUUGCGACUUGCAUUCAUAGCGAAUCAUCGAGUUCUCGAACGCAUCUUGCGCCUAGUAGUCAAUCUACUAGGCACAGUUGUUUCAGUAUCUGCAACUACCAAUCAGUUCAACUUGGUUCUUUGAACCUAAGCGAGCUGGAAAUGGGCUUGUGUUGAUGGCAUUCAGUUGCUGUCAUGGCCUUAAAUACAUUUAGUCCUAGGCAAUUGGCUUUAGUCAUUUGCCGGAUGUAGACUCUAGAGUGCCUGAGGAGCAACGACUUGGUUAGUGAGUUCAUAAUUCCAAGUCAAUCAGUCUCUUCUUGAACUAGGUCUUAAUCUUUACGGACUAGCGAGAGGAUCUAACUUGGGUCUUCUCUUAAACAAACUCACAUCUAGAUCUGAAAUCAACUGAGAUC